UACAGAGGCCACAAGCGUUAGUCGGAAUCACUGGGCUUAAAGGGUGCGUAGGCGGGCGUGUAAGCGUCUUGUGAAAUCCCGGAGCUCAACUCCGGAACAGCAGGGCGAACUGCACGUCUUGAGGCAGGUAGGGGCCGCGAGAACAGUAGGUGGAGCGGUGAAAUGCGUAGAUAUCUACUGGAAUGCCGAUGGUGAAGACGCGCGGCUGGGCCUGUCCUGACGCUGAGGCACGAAAGCGUGGGGAGCAAAC
Molecule: ribosomal RNA, 250 nt
Filed under: uncultured bacterium
Lineage: Bacteria
Description: partial 16S ribosomal RNA
Rfam family: Bacterial small subunit ribosomal RNA
Source: RNAcentral